This is a non-coding RNA of Glycine soja, 189 nucleotides long. NCBI's taxonomy places the organism in Eukaryota, Viridiplantae, Streptophyta, Magnoliopsida, Fabales, Fabaceae. The record is from Rfam.
GAUCAGGUAAGAGAGCUCUCUUCAGCCCACUCAUAGGUGAUAAUAGGAUUUAAUUAGCUGCCGACUCAUUCAUACACAUGCUGAGUGAAUUAAUGAAUAAUACUCAGUAAAUGAGUGAAUGAUACGGGAGACAAAUUGAAUCUUAUGUUUUCUGUACUUGGACUGAAGGGAGCUCCCUUUUCUCGCUCG